RNAcentral lists this unclassified non-coding RNA (378 nucleotides) under uncultured Rickettsiales bacterium. RNAcentral describes it as "contains 16S-23S intergenic spacer region". The record is from RNAcentral. Lineage: Bacteria; Pseudomonadati; Pseudomonadota; Alphaproteobacteria; Rickettsiales.
UCCGGCUUAUCACCGGCAGUUUUCUCAGAGUGCCCAACUUAAUGAUGGCAACAGAGAAUGAGGGUUGCGCUCGUUGCGGGACUUAACCCAACAUCUCACGACACGAGCUGACGACAGCCAUGCAGCACCUGUGCAUCUCCCAGCCGAGCUGAAAGGGUAAAUUUCUCUACCCUAUAGAGAGCAUGUCAAACCCUGGUAAGGUUCUUCGCGUUGCCUCGAAUUAAACCACAUGUUCCACCGCUUGUGCGGGUCCCCGUCAAUUUCUUUGAGUUUUAAUCUUGCGACCGUACUCCCCAGGCGGGGUGCUUAACGCGUUAGCUGCGCCACUGAGAGGUAUCCCCCCAACGGCUAGCACCCAUCGUUUACAGCGUGGACUAC